This 322-nucleotide unclassified non-coding RNA is filed under the name Hevea brasiliensis (rubber tree). Lineage: Eukaryota; Viridiplantae; Streptophyta; Magnoliopsida; Malpighiales; Euphorbiaceae. The record is from RNAcentral.
AAAUUACAGGAUUUUAUAAAUAAGAUUUUGGGUUAACCAAACAAAACAAAAUUGGGGCAAACUUCAUAAAAAUUUCUGAAAGAAAAAAAAUGGAAAAGGGUAACAUUGAGGCCUCAAAUGAUCACGAGAAGUGUAUGCCAGCCACAUUGAACAGAGAGAGCAGGUAUAAAAACUCCUCUUGUGAGAGUUUAGAGGAUCUCUUCUCAUAAAAGUUUUUCUCUUUCAACACAGCUAAAACUUUUUCUUUGAAUUCAGACACCUCAGCAUCUGCAUCACCAUCCUCUACCUCCAUCUCAUCAUCUGUUCCAUCAUCCAAGUCCAU